AACGAACGCUGGCGGCGUGCCUAACACAUGCAAGUCGAACGAGAAAGGGGCUUCGGCUCCGAGUAAAGUGGCGCACGGGUGAGUAACACGUGGGUAACCUGCCUCUAAGAUUGGGAUAACUCGUCGAAAGAUGAGCUAAUACCGAAUAAGACCACAGUUCCCGCGGGAACAGGGGUCAAAGGUAGCCUCUGCUUGCAAGCUAUCACUUAGAGAUGGGCCUGCGCACCAUUAGCUAGUUGGUAGGGUAACGGCCUACCAAGGCAAAGAUGGUUAGCUGGUCUGAGAGGAUGAGCAGCCACACUGGAACUGAGACACGGUCCAGACUCCUACGGGAGGCAGCAGUGGGGAAUAUUGCGCAAUGGGCGAAAGCUUGACGCAGCAACGCCGCGGGAGUGAUGAAGGCCUUCGGGUCGUAAAGCUCUGUCGGGAGGAACGAAUGCUCCUGAGGUUAACAGCCUCGGGAGGUGACGGUACCUUCAAAGGAAGCACCGGCUAACUCUGUG
This 503-nucleotide ribosomal RNA is filed under the name uncultured bacterium. RNAcentral's name for it is "partial 16S ribosomal RNA". It matches the Rfam family "Bacterial small subunit ribosomal RNA", at positions 29 to 507 of the family's 1533-position model. The record is from RNAcentral.